UUUUUAACCGUAGCUCCAAAUGAGGUGAAACCAACGCUCACUUCUUCGUUUCGUCGAGCCCAUUCAGCCCUCUCCGUGAGAGUACGAUUAUGUUUUCACUAUGGUUUGACACUGUGAAAAUGACCAUUAUGCCCUUGCCCUUAUUCAGCCCUCUCCGAGAGAGUACGAUUUCCGGCGAUUCUUUCCGCGAGCUUCUGACACUUUCUCCCGGUGAUUUCUUCAUCCCCAGGCAAGCCACAAUACCCACUUGCAUGAUAAUCAUGCAGUAGCCAUGGUUUUCAACUUGAAUCUUUAUUAAAUAUUUGCUCGUUGAAAAGAUGGUUAUCUUUAUUCCGGUAAUGUUUAGAUUUUCAUGUUCACUUUUGUGCUAUGUUGUCUUGCUCUGUCAUCAUGUUAUACCUGCUAGUAUUUCCUUUCAUAUGUUUAUGCUUGCUAGUAGUACAUGUUGAUGUUGGUAAUGGUCGUGCUAGUCAGUAUGCCAUGCUCAGUGGAUAUGAUUUAUUGUUGAUAUGGUGGAUAGUUAUGUGAUACUCUCAUGAUUAUGUUGAUAUCAUGUUCAUGCAUUUUAUCACGGCUCAGCAUAUUUGCAUUCAAGUUAACCGGAUUAAAUUGAACUUGAACACCUGUUGGCUGAGUCAUGGUGCCGCUGAAAUGAUACCGACCACUGCAACCACGCUUACCGAUAUGGGACGGUCCUAACUGGGUCUAUUGUCGCGCGUCUCACUGGUGCUUCCAACGAGGGAAGGUUAUGGGCGCGUGCUACCCUGGUCAGGUAGGCGGACAUAAGCCUUGUGUGCCAGUUGUUGAGUUAAGUGUUUGGGUCCCAGAGUGGAUCAUUGCCACGACGGUGGUUUUGAGGUGUCUUGAGGUAGGCACAGGGCCACCCAUGACUUAGACUAGAGGGGAGUUAGUCAGAGUGGCCGGGAGAGUGUCCUGGCAGCAGAUCGGUUUUGCCAGAACGCCGUUGGUACACCAGAAUGAGAGUGUGAGGCCAUGGGUUCCGUAGUGUGGGUGCAAUGUACUACCUCUACAGAGUGUAUAUUAAAUCUAUAGAUAGCCGCGCCUACAGAUAAGGGCCCAGGUCGAAAGUAGGUCACACCGUGUGUCAACAGUAAUAAGAAUAAUGUGCUUAAUAACAAUGAGAUAAGUUGGUUGUGAUCGCUGUAAGGAUCACGGGCCAUUUAUUGGUCGGGUUGUGAUCGUCGUAAGGAUCACGGGCCAAGUAUUGGUCGGGUUGUGAUCGCCGUAAGGAUCACAGGCCAAGUGUUGGUCGGGUUGUCAUCACUGUAAGGAUCACGGUGGUAUCAAGGAUACCGAGUUGUUGUAUAUUCGUGAUGUUGUACGAGAAUCGUGGGUAAAGGUCAAGCUCCUUGUGGUCAUUUAAUGAUUACUACGGUAUUGUUUAUACCAAGCUUGAUUUGAUCCUGAGAUGAUCGUGUGAUGUCCGAGGAUGGUAAGUGAUGCAUGUGUUGGUUAUGAGGUAACCCGAGCAGAAUAAGUGGUGCAUGUAGUGUCAUCAUGUUGCAUGCUAGUAUUGUCAGAUUAAUAUGUUCAUGUUGUGUGAGCCGUAUCAUGUUCAUCUUGUUCAUGCUAUAAUGUUCUAAUGAUAUCAUGAUAAUUCCUGUUUAACCAGUAAUUUCCAUGCCGUUGUAUGUAUUGAAUGCUUCUGGUUAUUGUGAGCUUGCAAGUACAUUCAAUGUACUAACCUGGCGUGUCAUGCCAGCUUGCAGGUCAUGCCGGAUUUGAUUGCUUGCUUGUCGUGGUUUCCGUUCGUGUGAGCUAGGAUAAGCGUUCCAGCCAGAGUCCCUGCGGAGUGGAGCUCACCAUCGUCUUCGUUGUUCCGCUGCUAGAGUUAUUCCGCUGCUUCGAGUUGUUCUGCUGCUUGCAUAGAGCAACUGAGGAUGGCGUGGUGUCGCCUUACAGAUGUUAUUCAUUGUAAUAUCGGAGACCUUGUAUUCAUAUACGUGUAAUAAUAAAGAGCUGGUUUGAUCUAUGCUAAGCAGUGUCGUAUUCCAGAAGACUUCAUCUUGAUCUCUCGGCCAGAAUACGUGGCGUUCCAGUUUUCUCUGAGCCGGGUUGCCACAGACUUGGUAUCAGAGUAGGUCUGGCUGUAGGACGCCCUAGACCGCGUGAACGUUAGAAAGUGGUAGUAUAGAGUCUGGUUUGUUGAUUGCACUUGAUUGCUGCAUUUGUUUGUUGCAUAGCAUGCAUAUAGCAUUAUUAUUUGUUACUAACGGUUUAUCUGGUGAGUGUAGCUGGCAUCGGUUCGGAUCCACUACAACUCAACCUUUGCAUUUCUCCAGUUCCUUUUUCUUUCGGUGUUUGGUGUCAUUUCUGUCCCAGCAGAGUGAUGCCAAGUGAUCCCGACACUGUUUGCAAAAAUGGUGCUCAGGUAUCGCACCGAUGUCUUUCUUUCAGUCCCGUCUAUCGUUUCGGGGAUGGACAUGCUUCUAUCCCGGAUCGUUCUUUUAUUUCGUCGUGUUGGCAACCCUUAAUGAUCUUAGUUAUCAAGAAAGGGCAAUGUUAGCAGCCUCAGUUUUUCCCCGCAAUCCUAUUUCUUGGACGAGUACGGAUCUUUUUCCGUCCGCUUGAUAGUAAUGUAGUUGCGACCUUCAUGUCCCACUACAUGAUUACUGAGUACGUCCUGACCUGCGAGCUAGUUCAGGUUGCCACCUGGCUACGCUAGCACUUGGUGUAGCGCUAUUUACACGAAUUCUUCCACAUAUUUAUUCGUCCUCGUGCACAUCGUCACAUCAUGUUAGAUCGUAGUACCGGAGAUUCCGCGAGAUUUGUGUGCUUAGGUGUGCAUGCAUAUUAUUGUGUGAGUAGCAGUAAUAUGUGAUGAUUGCUUGAUUAAUUAUAUUAGUAGAAUGCUUGUGUGCUUUUGUUUUAGUCGUUUCUGUUGUUCCUUUCUUUGGGCCUUCGGUGUUACAAAUUUUUCCCCUAUUAAAGUUGCUCGUCAGCCGACACCGGACCCGAAGAGUCAGCAAGAAAUGCAUAUAUUUGGAAAUUCAGCUAAACAAGAUGGAAUUAUUAGCAGACUGCAGUGAAAUUGGGAAUAUCUUGUCGGGAUGCAAAAGAAAUCCUGGAUGGACCGUUAGUAUCAAGUUUGCAUUAGCGUGCACUCAUCACCACAAAAUGAUUAAAUCAGCAAGAAGAUAAAUUGUGUGCAAGGUUGACAGAAUAUUAUCAAAGGUAUGGCUCAGAUACAUGUUUAAUUUUUUGUUGAGGAUAAUUUUGGAACUCGAUGUACCUGGAAGCAAGCAAAAAUAUGGCAUAUACUCAGAAAGGAGGAUAGUCCUACAAAACCCCGUUUCAUGCAAGGAAUCAACAUCAGAAAUAUUAAAAUGGUAUGUAUAUGUGGAAAUCGGUCCGCAUAUCACAAUGAGAAGCUUCUGGUGUAAGCAACCCAAUCUUCCCUCUCAAGAUACCCAAGAGGCUUCCAAGGCGAGAUUCAUCUAUUUUCCUCAGUACGAUACAUGGAUGACUUCUCGCGUAAGGUACUCUGCCUUCUUCAAUAAGCAACCGCAAAAGCUUCCAGCAUAAGGUACUGAGUCUUUCCCCAGCAAAGUAUUUAAGGGGGUAAGCUUCUGAAGCACGAUACCCAGUCUUCUUUAGCAAUUUGUCCGAUGAAAGUUUUGAGCACAAGCCAGCAAAUAUUCCUCAGUAAGACAUUGGUACAAGGUAGUAUGCUGUGAAUUGACAGCAUAUGGCAGUAAAUCCCAAGAAUCAGAUCGGCAACAUUUUGGUCAGAAUCAAGAAUCAGUCAGAAUACACGUCUAUCUCGGAAUCAGGUCCUCAUAUAUAUGCAAUGAGCAUACCAUCAAGAUCUUACAAGUCACUUGGAUGAGGAUCUGACAACCACGUGAGGAUGGUUAAUAGAAGAAAGCCAGUAUACACUGUAGUGUGACAAAGGAUUAUGAGGACUGACGACAUUAGUGAGCUCAAUACAAGUACCCGUGAACCUGGAAAAUGAUCCUGAUGAGCCCUUGUCCCCUUUUUCUCCAAUGACGGCACCACGCCUGUGAUCUUAGCUAUUUCUAGCUAUCCGGGGUGGAUGCCUAUUUUUGUUUCUCUCUUCAACAACUGUCACGAGUUCUGAGCUGCUUUUCGGCCGUCUCAUAUAUUUGUUGAGUUUCUUUUUGUGACAGUAGCCCUAUAGUUGCUUUUUGGCUAUUUUAGGGAGCUGCCACCUUCUUCUUAUCGACCCGGACUCAUGCUCUGAGUUGCUUUUCGGCCAUCCUGAGCCGUGGUUGAGUUAUUUCAGUAAUGUCCUAGAUCUGAGUUGUAAAGACCGUUCUGGUGGCUACUGAUUUAUUUGCCGAUUUCCUGCAAGGGUUUAGGAUGAUCAUUUCCCAACAAUCAGAACUCAAGAGGUGUUGAACCUGCCAUUUAAUGGGUUACCCUAUCAGAAAAAUGAGGAUAAACUACAAUUGCCGAAAAAUUGCACCGACGGUACCUAUGGUCAUACAAAGAAACAAUAUGGCCUAGCUCUUUCAGCCAAAGAUCCAGACCAAGAAAACGAUAAUGAAGGAGCAAGACCAGUGAUGCAGGUAUGAAAAUUGUACACGACCCCCAUGGUGCAGAUCCCCUGGACAGUCUAAGUCGGUAUUGAUCCACAUGGAUAUGCCUACAACAUGAGUAAUCGGCAUGAGGAAUAACAAUCUCAAAGCCCGAGUCCUCACUUAUACGAAUCAUCAUGGAUAGCCUGUCGUGAACAAUAUUUUUCCUUCAGAACCGCUGUCAGUUAAGUCUGCAGAUAUUAUCAUACAGGCCAAACCCUUUAUGCCGGCCGCGACAGGAGACAAUCAAAUAUUUGGUAUGGAUCCGAUACUCAUGACAGUGGAACCGGUUAAGAUGAUUCAAAAACUUCUGCGAUGAGUCAGAAUCUAUCAGGAAAUGGUUAUGUUUUAACUCACUGUUUGGAACCCAAAGGACCUACAUUUAGUGGAGAAACCCAAUGCAAUGAGUCAGAGCUUGAGUUUUCAUCAGAAAAUUCUGAUUAUCAUUACAUGAAAGGUUGUCACUGCCGGGUGGCACACCCAGCAGAAAUCACUUUCGGAUUUGUGAGACGGACAUAUAUUUCAGUCGUGAUAAUUAAAUCACACUCAGCUAGUCAGCAGAUCUAAAAAGAAAUUGGAACCUGUAUAAGCAUGAACAAGCAAGGUAAGAUCUGCCAGAAUGUGGAUACAGUAAAGAAAACCACCCAGGGCCAGUCAGAUAAAAAUUUAGUGGGAACAACAAUAAAGGAGAAAGGAUACCCGAGUUGGAAAUGGUUUCCUUAAGUCGAAAUAUUCAUACUAGUUCCCUGAGCAACCAAAUCUCGAGGAUGAGAUUUCUUUAAGGGGGUAAGGUGUGUGACAGCCUGAUUUUUGGCCCUUUCUUUUUCUUUUGUUUUUCCAAGGUUUUUGCCUGAGUUUUCUUUUUACGUGGCUUUGUGGUCUGGAAACUGAAGAAGAUGCCCUCUUCUUUGCUUCCAGAGUGGCUUGUCAUUCCCAAAUCUUUCCAUAGACCCUGUCAUUUUCAUCCUAGCCCAAAUCCGAAUAUUCUUUUUUAUUGGGAAUAUUCCUUUUCUAUUAAAGGAAUAACUCGAAUUGCCCUAGGUUGUGAAGCAACCUAUAUUUCCAUCACUCCAAAAAUCCCAAAUAAUUGUCAUAAAUUGUUUGGGUCAUAUCUUGAUCAAAUAUGGCAAAACUUUUCAUUGCCAUGUUCAAAAAUAAUUCCCCAAUAUUCCUUUUCUAUUCUGCCCUAAAUGGCACUUUGUGAAGGAAGUGUCAUUUAUAUUUCUCCUAGUGGCUCCCAACCUUUUUGGGAAUGUUUAUAUGUCCAAAUAAUUGCCCCAUGCACAAGUUCAAAUUUAUUUGCCUAGCCAAUCUUCCUUAGUGAAUUUUCAAAGUUUUUGUCAAACAGAAGGCUUUGUGAAGGAAGUACUAGCUAGGAGUACCCAAAUGAGUUGAACUUUUGCACACUCCUUAAUGUGCUCAUAUUAAACCCUUCCACCCAUUUGCAGCCACAUCCAAUCAAUUAUGUGAGCACAGGAGAAAAUCUUUGUUUCUGGCAAUAUUUUUAGGUUGCGAAGCAAGAUUAUUUUAUAUUGCUUCAAAAAUCCUGAUAAAUUACCAGAUCAUUCCUAUAUCCAUAAAACAUCUCUCCACCAAAUUUGGCAUCAUUUCAUUGAUCCAUUUGAUCACCAAAAUUAUUUCAAGUUUCUGGUCAGCAGAGAUGUUUGUGAAGCAAGUACCAGUUUGGCUUUGCCCAAUUGUAUGAUACUUGGUGAGCAUCUUCAUAUGACCAAAUGACUCAGCUUUGCCCAAGUGGACACUCCAUGUGAGAGCAUCAUCAUGAUCUUCAUUUCUGGACCAAAAAUGCAGUUGUGAAGCAACUAUAUUCAUUCUUGGUCCAUUUCCCCUCAAAACUUCCAGGAUCAUAGUCCCUCCAUAGAUAAACACCCCAGACAACCUACCCAUAGCAUAUCCCUGUUAAUCACACUGAGCUGAUAAAGUUUACAGGAGUAAACUUCAGAGCUCACUAACCUUUUAACCGUAGCCUGUUUAACCAAGUUACCACCGUAGUUACAACCUACCCAGGAAGGACUAACCCCCAGACAUGGUCUGGCAUCACUUGUGGCACUGUGUGCACCAGUGCACGCGGUGACCACCGCUUUGGCAUGCCAUGAGCGUGUCUAGAGCACUGUUUGUGCUGGACCCCCUCCUCCUCUUGCUGUAUUCGCGCUCGUGAGCAUGUUCAUUGUCUUCCUCUCGUCGUCGCCGUUCCCCUGGACCCCUCUCUCCCCUCCGUCCGCUUGCUCACCGACGCUCGCCGCCAUGUGAACACGAGCGUACAGUGGCGUUUUGGAUCCGUUCGUCGUCGUCGUCUUCCUCCCUGCGCCCCCUUGGCCUCCUCUGCCCCGUGAGAGCCCCCACUGCUCCUCCUAUGUCGUUUGCCCCCGAGUCCAUGCGCGCGAGCACGCGUCAAAGGCGCUGGACACGCGUCCACGGUGGUGCCAGCGCGGCCUCCUCGUCCUGCGGCUAUAUAGGCCCUCCCCGAGCCUCUCCAAGCUCACCACUGGCCUCCUACACCUCCACUAGCCCCGCCCAUGCUCUUUCACGAGCUGGAGAACCUUUCCUCGUCACAAACCAUCGCCAUGGCCGCCGCAAAUCUCGGCUCAAGUUCGAGCUCCCCAGUCCCCUGCUCCACCCACUGACCUCACCCGAGCCUUCCUCGUGCCCUGUAGAACUUCUCCACCACCCACCCUCUCGCCGGAGCCAUGCUUAGCCGCCGCCCUUCGAACAGCCGCCGCCGCCUUGUCCUCUGUUACCCCAAGCCGCGGCCGCCCUAUUCUCCCUCAGCCGGGCGUGAGACGGCUGGAGCAGCCCGCCCCAUCACCGGCAGCGCGCUCCUCCCGUGCCUCCUCUGUUCCUGUCGGGGGCAAGGAGAGGAGGAAGAAGACAGGGGCCAGGUGGGACCCCCUGCGCGUGGGACCCCCCAGUCAGCCUCCCAGCGCGUUGACCCCGCAGUCCAGCGUGGAUAAGUGAUGGGCGCCACCCCGUGGGACCCGCAUGUCAGCAUUGACCAGCCCCUCCGCUGUUCAAAUGGAUAAGGUGAAAGCCUAUUUCUCUGAUUAUGUUUUCACUUUUUUCUGUUCAGGCCCUUGGUUGAAAAUAUUUUCAUUACAGAUGGGUCCCUGGCAGAAAAACAUCCAUAUCUUUUUAACCGUAGCUCCAAAUGAGGUGAAACCAACGCUCACUUCUUCGUUUUGUCGAGCCCGUUCUGUUGGUCAUGCUUUCACUAUGGUUUGACACUGUGAAAAUGACCAUUAUGCCCUUGCCCUUAUUCAGCCCUCUCCGAGAGAGUACGAUUUCCGGCGAUUCUUUCUGCGAGCUUCUGACACUUUCUCCCGGUGAUUUGUUCAUCCCUAGGCAAGCCACAAUACCCACUUGCAUGAUAG
This 7948-nucleotide long non-coding RNA is filed under the name Triticum aestivum (bread wheat). Its description in RNAcentral is "long non-coding RNA (TAES_LNC025187)". The record is from RNAcentral. Lineage: Eukaryota; Viridiplantae; Streptophyta; Magnoliopsida; Poales; Poaceae.